UCCUGUGGUAUUAGGUGGACUGGAGAAAGAGGCCCGCGUGAAUUAAGUGUAGUUCUCUUAUGCACUGGCGGACUCUGGUCGCCCUUCCUUGUGAAGGCUGCCUGGGUAGCCGUAGAGGACGAGGCCACUCUAAAGCCUCGUUUUCCCAGCGGAAUUUUAACUAUUCUAAGGAUGUCCUUACAGCCAGUUCCCCACUCCGCUACUCAGAGUGUGUCAGACUUUACCCUGUCCAUUCAACUCCAGAAAAACCGGGAGGUCUAGAUUCGGAAGAUUAAAUUUACCUUUGAAUUAGGACAUGUAAAAUAGGAAGUUAAUAUUAGCAUCCUAAUGACAAAAGUUUUCUCGUUAUCAUACUUGACUCAAAUGGGAAUCUUACGGAUAUUAAUGUUUUUUCCAGAAACAGGUUUGAAAGGUAUUUCAAGGAUAAAUCUGGGGAAAGGGAUGGAAGCAACUGAUUUUUAAUUUUUAGAUAGUACUCUCAGAGCAUUUAUUUAGUCCAAAACUGUUAAUUUAAUGAAUUAGGCUAAACUAGACGCUGGGGUAACAAAGCUGAGUUAGAUACCCUCUCCUCUGAGGCAGCUAAAGAGAAGGAAAGUCUGGUGGCUGACAAGUAAACCAACAGUUAUGUUCUUCAGAGAGGAGAUCUCAGACUCUCUAAGCAAAAGAAACUAAUAGCUGUAUGACAACAGCCAAAGAGUAAAUAUCCUUUCAAGUCCAAUCCUGCCUAAGAUGUCAAAAUCAAGAAUGAAGAGGUUAUGUGCUGAAACAGAAUGACCUUCACAAGAUGCAGCCUCUGGAUCUUGGACUUCCCCAGCCUCCAGAACUCUGAGCAGAGCCCCAUAAAUGAGAAGCCACGAAGACUGAGGUUACACAGUGAUCCACAGUUGCCACAAAACUGAGCAGGCAUCAAGGUACAUCUUGGUGUUGAAUGAAGUUGUUCCAUAUGGGCUCAUUUCUCAGGUUGUUUGCAAAAAAGAAAUAAUGUAAUACAGUGCACCAACUGUAUUUCAAAGAUGCAGGCCAACUCGACAUUUCAUGUGCUGAA
RNAcentral lists this long non-coding RNA (1045 nucleotides) under Homo sapiens (human). RNAcentral's name for it is "HSALNT0328356". The record is from RNAcentral. Lineage: Eukaryota; Metazoa; Chordata; Mammalia; Primates; Hominidae.